GCGACAGGCCGCCUUAUCGCCACGCAAAUGCGUGGAGGAAAGUCCGGACACCACAGCACAGCAUAGCGGGUAACACCCGUCGUCCGUCUUUGGCGGUCAGGACCAGUGCAACAGAAAGAAUGUACAGUUCGGCUGUAGUGAAAUCAGGUAAACUCUAUGCGGUGCAAUGCCAAAUAAACCGGUGCUUGAGGGUUGUGCGCCCGAGCCGGAGGGUAGGCAGCUAGAGGUGGCAGGCAACUGCCAUCGGAGAUAAAUGAUAAGGCCGUUGGAAUUUUCCAGCGGACAGAAUCCGGCUUACAGGCCUGUUUUUUUU
RNAcentral lists this RNase P RNA (313 nucleotides) under Flavobacteriaceae bacterium. Its description in RNAcentral is "RNase P RNA component class A". It matches the Rfam family "Bacterial RNase P class A". Rfam says of the family: Ribonuclease P (RNase P) is a ubiquitous endoribonuclease, found in archaea, bacteria and eukarya as well as chloroplasts and mitochondria. Its best characterised activity is the generation of mature 5'-ends of tRNAs by cleaving the 5'-leader elements of precursor-tRNAs. Cellular RNase Ps are ribonucleoproteins. Lineage: Bacteria; Pseudomonadati; Bacteroidota; Flavobacteriia; Flavobacteriales; Flavobacteriaceae. RNAcentral also lists the same sequence under 1 other name. The record is from RNAcentral.